GACGAACCGUGCGAACGUUGUUCGGAAUCACUGGGCUUAAAGGGCGCGUAGGCGGGCGGUCAAGUCGGUGGUGAAAGCCUUCAGCUUAACUGGAGAAGUGCCGCCGAUACUGACUGCCUCGAGGGAGGUAGGGGCAUGUGGAACUCAGGGUGGAGCGGUGAAAUGCGUAGAUAUUGGGAGGAACACCAGUGGCGAAGGCGGCUACCUGGACCGGUUCUGACGCUGAUGCGCGAAAGCGUGGGUAGCAAACAGG
RNAcentral lists this ribosomal RNA (253 nucleotides) under uncultured bacterium. RNAcentral describes it as "partial 16S ribosomal RNA". It matches the Rfam family "Bacterial small subunit ribosomal RNA", at positions 524 to 776 of the family's 1533-position model. The record is from RNAcentral.